Corapipo altera (White-ruffed manakin) is the source of this 511-nucleotide long non-coding RNA. RefSeq lists it as uncharacterized. The transcript has 3 exons. The record is from RefSeq and is a predicted model, not a curated record. Lineage: Eukaryota; Metazoa; Chordata; Aves; Passeriformes; Pipridae.
GCUCAGCCAAUCAGCGACGCCGUCUUCGCACUUCGCGCCUCUGAUUGGCUGAGAUCGCCCAGCGUCCCGCCUCCGUGCCGUUGACAGACAGCGGCGGCUGAGGGGGCGGAGAAAGAGGCGUGGCUCAGUACUUUCUCCGCCUUAUGAUUGGCUGACGACAUGAUUGGGGUGGGGUUAUCGUGGCUCCGCCCCCCGCUCCGCUGAGGGAAAAAGGCGGGAAAGGGUCGGAGUCCCUGAGGGGUUUUUCUCACCUUUCCCGUUUUAUCCUUUUCCUGAGGGGAAAAAGCGGCCGCCCUGAGAUGAAUUUACCCUUCUUUGCCCAGGAUGCCCAGGAGACGCUGCGCCCUGGCGCUCUGAGAUUCCUUUUCUCCCAGCCUCUUGUUUUUUUUUUUUUAACCAAGGACUUUUCACCAUUUUUAACCCAAAAUUUCUCCACCUGCACCAAAGGGAACCCGACGCCUUCUUCGUCCUCCCGGGGAAACACUGAUGAAGGAAUUCCUCCUCACCGACA